CUGGAAACAUUGGUGGCUUUGGCAAUGGUU
Molecule: non-coding RNA, 30 nt
Filed under: Homo sapiens (human)
Lineage: Eukaryota; Metazoa; Chordata; Mammalia; Primates; Hominidae
Source: RNAcentral